GACGAACGCUGGCGGCGUGCCUAAUACAUGCAAGUUGAGCGCUGAAGGUUGGUACUUGUACCAACUGGAUGAGCAGCGAACGGGUGAGUAACGCGUGGGGAAUCUGCCUUCGAGCGGGGGACAACAUAUGGAAACGAAUGCUAAUACCGCAUAAAACCUUUAAACACAAGUUUUAAGUUUGAAAGAUGCAAUUGCAUCACUCAAAGAUGAUCCCGCGUUGUAUUAGCUAGUUGGUGAGGUAAAGGCUCACCAAGGCGAUGAUACAUAGCCGACCUGAGAGGGUGGUCGGCCACAUUGGGACUGAGACACGGCCCAAACGCCUACGGGAGGCAGCAGUAGGGCAUCUUCGGCGAUGGACGAAAGUCUGACCGAGCAACGCCGCGUGAGUGAAGAAGGUUUUCGGAUCGUAAAACUCUGUUGGUAGAGAAGAACGUUGGUGCGAGUGGAAAGCUCAUCAAGUGACGGUAACUACCCAGAAAGGGACGGCUAACUACGUG
Molecule: ribosomal RNA, 497 nt
Filed under: uncultured bacterium
Lineage: Bacteria
Description: partial 16S ribosomal RNA
Rfam family: Bacterial small subunit ribosomal RNA
Source: RNAcentral